AAAAACUCCGGUGGUGUGAGAUGGAUCCGCGUCUGAUUAGCCAGUUGGCGGGGUAACGGCCCACCAAAGCGACGAUCAGUAGCCGGCCUGAGAGGGUGACCGGCCACAUUGGGACUGAGACACGGCCCAAACUCCUACGGGAGGCAGCAGUGGGGAAUAUUGCACAAUGGGCGAAAGCCUGAUGCAGCGACGCCGCGUGAGUGAAGAAGUAUUUCGGUAUGUAAAGCUCUAUCAGCAGGGAAGAAAAUGACGGUACCUGACUAAGAAGCCCCGGCUAACUACGUGCCAGCAGCCGCGGUAAUACGUAGGGGGCAAGCGUUAUCCGGAUUUACUGGGUGUAAAGGGAGCGUAGACGGCGAAGCAAGUCUGAAGUGAAAACCCAGGGCUCAACCCUGGGACUGCUUUGGAAACUGUUUUGCUAGAGUGUCGGAGAGGUAAGUGGAAUUCCUAGUGUAGCGGUGAACUGCGUAGAUAUUAGGAGGAACACCAGUGGCGAAGGCGGCUUACUGGACGAUAACUGACGUUGAGGCUCGAAAGCGUGGG
RNAcentral lists this ribosomal RNA (543 nucleotides) under uncultured bacterium. RNAcentral's name for it is "bacterial SSU rRNA". It matches the Rfam family "Bacterial small subunit ribosomal RNA", at positions 202 to 765 of the family's 1533-position model. The record is from RNAcentral.